This 445-nucleotide ribosomal RNA is filed under the name uncultured bacterium. Its description in RNAcentral is "bacterial SSU rRNA". It matches the Rfam family "Bacterial small subunit ribosomal RNA", at positions 217 to 662 of the family's 1533-position model. The record is from RNAcentral.
GGUAUGGGAUGAGCUUGCGUCCGAUUAGCUAGUUGGCGGGGCAACGGCCCACCAAGGCGACGAUCGGUAGCCGGCCUGAGAGGGCGAUCGGCCACAUUGGGACUGAGAUACGGCCCAGACUCCUACGGGAGGCAGCAGUAGGGAAUAUUGCACAAUGGGGGAAACCCUGAUGCAGCAACGCCACGUGUGGGAAGAAGCAUUUCGGUGUGUAAACCACUGUCGUGAGGGAAUAAGGCAUUGUUUCGGCGAUGUUGAAUGUACCUCGAAAGGAAGCACCGGCAAACUUCGUGCCAGCAGCCGCGGUAAUACGAGGGGUGCAAGCGUUGUUCGGAAUCACUGGGCGUAAAGGGAGCGUAGGCGGAGAUGCAAGCAGUCUGUACAAUACCGGGGCCCAACCCCGGACCUGCAGACUGGACUGUGUCUCUUGGAUAGUUCAGGGGCAGGC